Molecule: ribosomal RNA, 697 nt
Filed under: uncultured eukaryote
Lineage: Eukaryota
Description: bacterial SSU rRNA
Rfam family: Eukaryotic small subunit ribosomal RNA
Source: RNAcentral
GAUCAGAUACCGUCGUAGUCCACACCCUAAACUAUGUCGACUAGUGAUUGGUAGAUUAGCAGAUAUGAAAGUUUUUGGACUCUGGGGGAAGUAUGGUCGCAAGGUUGAAACUUAAAGGAAUUGACGGAACGGCACCACAAGGGGUAGAGCGUGCGGCUUAAUUUGACUCAACGCGGGGAACCUUACUAGGGUAAGACAUUAAUAUGAUUGACAAACUAUUUGAUUUUUCUUGAUUUAAUGGGUGGUGGUGCAUGGCCGAUCUUAGUUGGUGGGGUGACUUGUCUGGUUAAUUCCGAUAACGAACGAGAUCCGAGCAGUUUUGUUGCGUUCCUAAAUGGACCAUCAGAAUAGAAGGAAGUGACGGGCUAAAUCAGGUCUGUGAUGCCCUUCGAUACUCUAGGCGGCACGCGCGCUACAUUGGAUAAGAAAAUAUGUACGCUGAUAAGCGGAAUGAAUCAUUAAUUUUAUGUCGUAAAUGGGAUAGUUUAUUGCAAUUGACAAACUUUAACUAGGAAUCCCUUGUAGAUGUAUUGAAUCAUAAUAUAUCGAAUACGUCCCUGCCGUUUGUACACACCGCCCGUCGUUUCUUCCGACUGGUACUCAUUGUGAAUUACGAGGUGAAUCGUUGUGAAUGCUGGGUACUGGAGGAAGAAAAAGUCGUAACAAGGUUAUCGUAGGUGAACCUGCAGAAGGAUCA